AAAAACAACAUUAUUUCUCCCUUAUACGCAUGGAUUUACGUCUCGUCUUGCUUGAUCAUCAAGCUAAGCCUAAAUGCCACUGAUCAAUCUUGUCAAUUGUGUUCCCAUGAUUCCUUAUGCAAAAUCAUAGGUCAUAAGGAGUCCUCGUGCCCAAAGGAACAAGCAAUGAUGGAGAUCCUAAUAGUCCAAAUCCUAAAUCAAAAUAUUUGGACAUGCCUCAAUUCUUCGUUCCCUC
RNAcentral lists this long non-coding RNA (235 nucleotides) under Ricinus communis (castor bean). RNAcentral describes it as "long non-coding RNA (RCOM_LNC001201)". Lineage: Eukaryota; Viridiplantae; Streptophyta; Magnoliopsida; Malpighiales; Euphorbiaceae. The record is from RNAcentral.